RNAcentral lists this ribosomal RNA (460 nucleotides) under uncultured bacterium. RNAcentral's name for it is "partial 16S ribosomal RNA". It matches the Rfam family "Bacterial small subunit ribosomal RNA", at positions 338 to 795 of the family's 1533-position model. The record is from RNAcentral.
ACUACGGGAGGCAGCAGUGAGGAAUAUUGGUCAAUGGUCGGGAGACUGAACCAGCCAAGCCGCGUGAGGGAUGAAGGUACAGAGUAUCGUAAACCUCUUUUGUCAGGGAACAAAGGCGGGGACGUGUCCCCGGAUGAGUGUACCUGAAGAAAAAGCAUCGGCUAACUCCGUGCCAGCAGCCGCGGUAAUACGGAGGAUGCGAGCGUUAUCCGGAUUUAUUGGGUUUAAAGGGUGCGGAGGGGGUUCGUUAAGUCAGGCGUGAAAGCCCGGGGCUCAACCCCGGGCCCGCCGUUGAAACUGGCAGUCUCGAGUUGGAGAGAAGUAUGCGGAAUGCGCGGUGUAGCGGUGAAAUGCAUAGAUAUCGCGCAGAACUCCGAUUGCGAAGGCAGCAUGCCGGCUCCACACUGACGCUGAGGCACGAAAGCGUGGGUAUCGAACAGGAUUAGAUACCCGAGUAGUC